Molecule: long non-coding RNA, 361 nt
Organism: Corticium candelabrum
Lineage: Eukaryota; Metazoa; Porifera; Homoscleromorpha; Homosclerophorida; Plakinidae
Exons: 4
Source: RefSeq, a predicted model, not a curated record
CUUGAAAUUGUAUUCAGGAACAGAGGUGCUUUUAUUCGUGGUGUGUCAUUUGUUCCGCUGCAAAUUGCUUGUACCAGACCUAGACGUUUCUACUGAAUUUGAACUGGCUGUUGUCAUCCCAUCUGCGAGAAGUGUGUCAGUGUACUAUUAGAGUACAGUAGACUAUUGUGCAUUGGAAGGAUGCGUCUCCUAAUUCGAUCGUUAGAAUAUUUGCUGUGUUUGUGAUUGGUUCACAAUCAUGCCACAUUCAUCCUGCAAAACGACACACUCCCUUUGCUUGUCAACAAUCGGACUUAGUAUGCCCAAUUCUGCAGCACACGGUGAUGUCUGUGAAAUUAUUGACUUCUGAGCCGGAAGUAGA